UACGUAGGGGGCGAGCGUUGUUCGGAGUUACUGGGCGUAAAGAGUGCGUAGGCGGUGCUCCAAGUCUGGUGUGAAAUCUCCCGGCUUAACCGGGAGGGUGCGCCGGAAACUGGGGUGCUGGAGUGUGGGAGAGGUAAGCGGAAUUCCCGGUGUAGCGGUGAAAUGCGUAGAUAUCAGGAGGAACACCGAUGGCGAAGGCAGGUCUCUGGGCCGAUACUGACGCUGAGGAGCGAAAGCGUGGGGGAGCGAACAGG
This 254-nucleotide ribosomal RNA is filed under the name uncultured bacterium. Its description in RNAcentral is "partial 16S ribosomal RNA". It matches the Rfam family "Bacterial small subunit ribosomal RNA", at positions 524 to 776 of the family's 1533-position model. The record is from RNAcentral.